UGCUGGUGAGGAUGUUUACAAAGGAGUUCUUAAGGUAGAUGUUUUUCGUCAUCGUUUAGUAUAUAUCUAAACUAUAUUCCUGUCUCAUGUGCUAUCUCUUGAGGCAGGAUUACACUAGAGAUGAUGUUAACGUGGACAACUUUGUAGCUAUCUCCUUGGUAAAAAUUGCUCUUACUAGGUACCGGAAAAAUGGGAAUAGUGGUCCAAAUGAUCAUAUUUACAUAUUCUAUAGUGAUCAUGGUGGCUCUGGAGUGCUUGGCAUUACAGUGUAGCGACAAUAAGAAAGUGUUAGCUUUUCUAUGAUACCUACAAUUAGAAGAAAGAAGAUGAAUGAGGCUUCGAGGAUAAUAACUAUUGAUAUGAGAAGGCUUAAGGUAAAGAAAUAUCUUGCAGUACAUUAAUACAAAUUCAUAGCUCUGACUAUAAGCCAGAGAGAAUAAUUGGAAGAAAGAGCUGGAAAAGCU
Solanum stenotomum is the source of this 464-nucleotide long non-coding RNA. RefSeq lists it as uncharacterized. The record is from RefSeq and is a predicted model, not a curated record. The transcript has 3 exons. NCBI's taxonomy places the organism in Eukaryota, Viridiplantae, Streptophyta, Magnoliopsida, Solanales, Solanaceae.